This 870-nucleotide unclassified non-coding RNA is filed under the name Hevea brasiliensis (rubber tree). The record is from RNAcentral. Lineage: Eukaryota; Viridiplantae; Streptophyta; Magnoliopsida; Malpighiales; Euphorbiaceae.
CAAAUUCUCUUCCCAAUCAUCAAGCAUGCUAUUUGCCUCAAGCUGGAUAGGCUGUUGAGAUAUAGCACCAGGAAGACCACUACCAGUUGUGGCGUCAUUGGAAAAUACAUCAGCUGGUUGCCCUGCAAUUAGCAGGCAUAAUGUCCGCAAAGGUGAUCCUGCUACCAGCUGGCGAAGUGCCAUUUGCUUCACAGUAUCAACAUAGAACUGAUCACCGAGCUGUGAUGCAAGAACAAGCGCAGGUCCCCACAACUGGCCUACCUGUGCACGCUGUAAAGCCUCCUUUUUUCUACCAGAAACCAGAAGAUUUUGUACCUCAGAAGCAGUUGCCUGAAUUUGUCCUUCAGAUGGCACACUCUGCAAGCAGUGGCUGAAAGCACCAUAAUCACUGAAUUGUGCGCCAUUUCUCCUGGCAGAUGCAAAAAGUUUUGCAACUGCGGAUUCUGGAGCAUCACUCUCCUUCAAAGAAGCAUCAAUGCCAAAAGGAGAUCGAAGUUUUCCAUAAUGUUGACAAGCAAUUUUAAGCAAAGAGAGAAGCAACUUCAGUACUCCGCCUUUUCUAUAAUCAAUGUCAGGUGAUUCACAAUUAGCAAUUCUAUCAUCAAUCCACUUAUUCAACUCUUUACUUCCAACAUUGCCUCCCAACAGUGGACCUGGAAAGGAUUGUUGGCAGAGAGCACGAAAAUAAUUACAUGUGCUCCCUGCAAUAUUUAUAGCAUUGUUGGUAUUUCCUGUGAUAACCUCCAUCAAAUUCAGAACAGACAUUGAGCCUCCUAUAAGUUCCUGACUUGCGAAUGAUGCAUUCCCCAGAGAACUUGAACUGCCAUUUUUCAUUACUAUGAGCUUUCCACCAAAUCCAAACGUAACCAA